RNAcentral lists this ribosomal RNA (468 nucleotides) under uncultured bacterium. RNAcentral describes it as "partial 16S ribosomal RNA". It matches the Rfam family "Bacterial small subunit ribosomal RNA", at positions 28 to 507 of the family's 1533-position model. The record is from RNAcentral.
GACGAACGCUGGCGGCGUGCUUAACACAUGCAAGUCGAACGGAAAGGCCCUGCUUUUGUGGGGUGCUCGAGUGGCGAACGGGUGAGUAACACGUGAGUAACCUGCCCUUGACUUUGGGAUAACUUCAGGAAACUGUGGCUAAUACCGGAUAGGAGCUCCUGCUGCAUGGUGGGGGUUGGAAAGUUUCGGCGGUUGGGGAUGGACUCGCGGCUUAUCAGCUUGUUGGUGGGGUAGUGGCUUACCAAGGCUUUGACGGGUAGCCGGCCUGAGAGGGUGACCGGCAACAUUGGGACUGGGAUACGGCCAAGACUCCUACGGGAGGCAGCAGUGGGGAAUAUUGCACAAUGGGCGGAAGCCUGAUGCAGCAACGCCGCGUGCGGGAUGACGGCCUUCGGGUUGUAAACCGCUUUCGCCUGUGACGAAGCGUGAGUGACGGUAAUGGGUAAAGAAGCACCGGCUAACUACGUG